Helianthus annuus (common sunflower) is the source of this 2605-nucleotide long non-coding RNA. RefSeq lists it as uncharacterized. The transcript has 8 exons. The record is from RefSeq and is a predicted model, not a curated record. Lineage: Eukaryota; Viridiplantae; Streptophyta; Magnoliopsida; Asterales; Asteraceae.
AUUAUUAUUCAUUCCAUAUAUAAAGCAAGAACCCACUUCUUUGUUUCCACAUUUUCAUCUUCUCCAAUACGGCAAUUCCGAUUAGGGUUUCAUCUUCUUCUACACGCUUCCAACUCGCAACAGUCUACUUUCUCCCCAAAUCUUCCAGUUUCUUCAACUUAUCAACACCUGAUAUGAUACGAUCCUCAUCCUUUCCUCCAUCGCCGAAUCUUUCACUCCGAUUCCUUCAUGAACUUAGAGGGUUUCCCUCAUUCUCUCUUGGUCGCCUCUUUACAAAUCUAAUAUCUUCCUUCCAACUAUUCGAAUCAAGAUAUGAUUUUGAGUUUCAAAUGAUUUUGUGGGUUUCUUCGUAAUGGAUCUUUUUACUGCUCCCACGAAUGUCGUCUCCACCAAGAAAUAUCCGAUCGGAGCCGAGCAAUUAUGAGCUGUAUGAGGAGAUAGGACAUAGAGAUGCAUGUGGAUGUGAGCCGAACAAUGCUAAAGGCAACAGGUUCUCCAUUUUAUAAACUUUAUGGGUUCUUUUAGUCUAAUUUUCUUUGUAAUUAAUUCUGCUAAUUGCGUACAAUUACAUCUUUCCUAUGUGUUUAAUAGAAUUAUUCUUCGUUAGGAGCUUUAUAGUUACCACACAUAUGAGGAUCACCUUAUAUACUCCAGUAUUGUUCUUCUUAUGUCAGAUUAAUUACCUUCUAAUAUAGUAUUGUUCUUCUUAUGUCAGAUUAAUUACCUUCUAAUAUAAUCCUGUAACUAGACUAGAUUGCAUAUUAAAAAAAAAACGUUUGCAAGUUUGACCUUUUCAUUAUAUAGUAAAAUUAAUUUACUACAAAAGUGAAUGCAAAUAAGUGCUUCUAUCAUCUGGAUAUACCAAAAGUGAAUGCAAAUAAUUGCUUUAUUUUUAGCAUUAUUUUAUAGAGAAACAAUUACUAUUAUAAUUUUCCCAAUUGUAUUAUUUGUAUAUCGAGUUAAACUCAAUGGCUAUAAGUUGGCCCAUGUUUUGACUUUUACUUUUGGUGUAAUAUAUAUAUUUUGGUUUUUUGUGAUUGUUGGGCUAAAAGUACCAGUUAUGUAGUACUAUGAUCUGAUGAAAAGAAGUUGGAUAACGAGCAGUCGACCUGGUUUUAAAAGUACCGGUUACGGAUUACGCUUUGACGAAAAGAAAUUGGCUAAUGUGCAAUCGACCUGGUACGUGCUUGCUUGCUUUAGCAUAGUUAUAGACUUAUGGUAAUUGUUUUGUUUGAUAUGUUUGUUGAUGCGGGAAAAGUAGGUUGGGACCAACUGAAUACUUGAACAAAACUAAAAUGCCAUUGUAAAUUUUAGAUUCUUAACACCAUUAGGAAGUAAUUACUAUUCAAUUGUAUUAGUUAUUGUUAAUUGUGGUAUCCUCUUGAAUUUUAUUUUCUGGUCUCUUUUUAGGAAGUAAUAACUAUUCAAUUGUAUUUUAAUAAGUUAUUGCUAAUUGUGGUAUCCUUUUGAAUUUUAGUUUCUGGUCUCUUUGUUUGAUUUUAUCUAUGUAUCAUGUUGGUUGUGGUGUAGCUAAAUUUUUUUCUUACGGGUUCGGAAAUUUUCGAGGGAUGAACGAUCGACCGUCCAUCACUAAAUUUCGGCUUUUUCUAAGGGUUCGAUGUUGAAAUUUCUAUGGGUGUGAUGUCAAAAUACAUGUAUAUGUAACACUAAUUUUUGUUUUGGUACGGGUUCGGCCGAACCCGUACGUCUCUAUGUACCUACGCCCCUGCAUAUUGGUUCAUAGCUAUAGUUCAAAUACUAUUACGAGUGCUCAAGUUGAAUAUGUAAACACAGUCAUUCGAAAUCGUUAAUUUUAGGGAUUUUUGAUAUAAAGAUUGUUAUUCUCAUCUUGGAUUUUAGUUCCUUACUUUGCUAUGUAUGUUAUAGUCUGUCGAUAUUCGAUCAUCAUUGUUGGAUUUACUAACUUAUAAUGUUGAGUUUGUUGACAUUGAGGAUGAAAUCAGAGAAGGUAAUGAAGAAAAAGAGUAAAAGGGGGAAGAUGAAUUAUUGCAAGGAAUGUGGAGCUUUGUUUAGAAAACCCACGCACCAGAAAAAGCAUAUGAAAAAGCCAUUCAUUGCAAUUUCAUCUAAAAAUUAUAAGGAUCCAAAAUUGGAUCAGAGAUCAAGUUACUCGGGUUAUCUGAACGAUUUAGGAAGAAAUUUUUUGAACAGGUUAUACUUAUUGAAUCUUGAUAUGGGUUAAUGAGGGAGUGUAAAUGACUACAGAGUUUGAUGGUGGUGAAUUUCUUCCUUUGACAAAAAUGCGAUGAUGAACGACACCGGAGAGGUUAAGGAUGAUGAUAUAGAUAUUUUAUUGAAGACGUUGAUGCCGAACUUUUUAAAGAGUUAGGUAUUCUAUUAGUUUAGCUUUAUAUAGAUUUUGGAAUUGUAUGUAGUUUAUAAUUUAAUGUAGUUUGUUAUUCAUUUAGAAAGAACUAGGCUAUCACACGGGAACAUCCCGGGCUAGGAAAAUUUAGUUUUCAAUAAUAAAAAAGUACAUAAACAACAUUUUCAAACUCAUUAGUAUCUUCUUUCCCUUCCCACAAUAAUUAUUUGUUCGGUUUCAUCAGUAUCCUAACUUUGUCUCCAUGUGUAUUCAUAGUUU